CUCUUUUAAAUCUUUAUUAAACUUUAUUUAUCAUUCUAAAUUAUGUCAAUUACCACAUGGUAAUAAUUAAAUUAUUUAAUGCCCAAAAAGGCGCAAGCCAGGGCCGACCGUGCAAGGGCUGUAUAGCCAGUCAAGGUCGUUAAAAACUUCCAUUUGUUGUAAUGUGAAAAUGACUAGCAGGAUAUGCUUACCCUUCCGGAGCACAUGAUGUCACCCUUAGUGUUUGGUGGGGUUCUUUAUAGCUUACUGUUCGUUGUGAGCCUAGGCAUCGUGUUGAAGGUCGUACUUUGACUUAUGAUGGUUUAAUUUUACAAAUUGUGACUUGGAUAAAGAGUUGUCUCAUUGGUACUCAUACCACAUCUUCUUAUAUCUAUUUAGUUUACAAUGUUGUGUUUAGUGUACUAUUGUUUGUCUGUUUGUCUUUUUCUUUUCUAUCCAUAUCGUUGUCAGUUUAUUUACGACUUAUGCAUGUUAUGAGUUUGAUAUCUUUUGCCUCGCUUUUACUACAGCGUAAUGUUAACUCUAGUGGAUAUAAUCCUCAUCGUCGCCAUUAUACCACAUCUCCUCAUUUUAUAUUAAGACUAUCAGUGGCUUCGGUAAGAUCUU
RNAcentral lists this long non-coding RNA (606 nucleotides) under Mytilus galloprovincialis (Mediterranean mussel). Lineage: Eukaryota; Metazoa; Mollusca; Bivalvia; Mytilida; Mytilidae. The record is from RNAcentral.